This is a long non-coding RNA of Ahaetulla prasina, 1558 nucleotides long. RefSeq lists it as uncharacterized. NCBI's taxonomy places the organism in Eukaryota, Metazoa, Chordata, Lepidosauria, Squamata, Colubridae. The transcript has 3 exons. The record is from RefSeq and is a predicted model, not a curated record.
AACAGUAGGACAGGAACGGUAGGCACGUUUGUGCUCUUAUGCACGCCCCUUAGAGUCCUCUUAGGAAAGUGGUGAGGUCAACCGUGGACAGUUUUUGAAUAAAGCCUUUGGGGUUAUGAGAAGAAACUACAGAGUCAGGUAAUGCAUUCCAAGUAUAUACAAUUCUGUUACAGAAAUCGUGUUUUCUGCAAUCUAAACUGGAGCGGUUGACAUUGAGUUUAAAUCUGUUAGUAUCUCUUGUGAUAUUGUUAUUGAAACUAAAAAAGUCAUUGACAGGAAGGACAUUACAACGGAUGAUUUUAUAUGCUAAACCCAGAUCUUGACGAAGGCGACGAAGUUCCAAGUUUUCUAGACCCAAGAUAUCAAGUCUGGUGGAAUAAGGUAUUUUAUUAGUUUCGGAGGAGUGGAGAAUUCUUCUCGUAAAAUACCUUUGGACACGCUCAACUGUGUUGAUGUCAGAUAUAUGGUAUGGGUUCCAGACAGGAGAGCAGCGUGGCAGCCCUUUAGAUAUUGGAAGAACGCUAUCAUGCUGCCCCCCCCCAGUCCUUCUUGUAAGACCUGAGCUUCAAAUUAAUCCCAGGCUGUCUGGAAUGAGCUUUUUCAUCUAACGUUCUGGUUCCUUAGCGAUAGAUUGGAUAUCUUUGGGUUUUCAGUGUCUUUUUCAUCAACACCAUGACACUCGAUCUAGUGGUGAAAAGAACUUGGACAAAAAGCAAAGAUCCUGUUGAGAGGAACAAGGAGUUCUUUAUGGUCGUUUCACAGCCAGUAUUAUCUGAAGAGGGUGGACCUAUCAGAUUAUUGACCUGGAACUCAACCUGCAAAACUACUGCUCUUUUUUGGAGAUCAUGAGAUUUUAGAAGCUCUGUCCCCCAAAUCAUGGAAAGAACAGUGAUCUCCAGGAACUAUAUCCAAGGCUUUAGGUGACUGAAAAAGCCCUGGGGUCUCGGUCAGUAGUGGGUUUCUAUUGGUUCGCACCAGUUCGGGUCAACCGGUAGUGGCGGUAGUGGGAGGCUCCACCCGGAUCUCAUCAUGGACGCUCUGCGCAUGCGCAGAAGAGUCUGCACAUGCACAGAAGCACCGCAUGCACGCGCUUACAGUUCCGAACCGGUAGCGAAGGAACACAAAGUGGUACAUAUUGUUCUCUCCUUAUUCCUCAACAUUGCAAGAAUUUCUGAAACAGAUCAUCUGAAAUAUAAUGAUACUUACAAACUCAUCUAAGGAAUUUCACGGCUCAAUAAAGAUUUGAAUCUGAAUCCAGUUCUCCAAUCACUAUUGAUGAUAGUUCAUUAUUUCUUUUGAAGGUUUAUAGAGCAUAGACUAAAAGGGUUGGAAGGUAUCUUGGAGGUCUUCUAGUCCAACCCUUGUUCAAGCAGGAGACCUUAUACAGGUUGUCCUCGACUUAUGACCAGAAUGGAGCCUAAAAGUUCUGUUUCUAAGUGGGACGUUUGUUAGGAUUAUGGCUAAGUCUGUAACACUCUGAUAGAGCAUGUAUACAGGUAAUCCUCAACUUACAACCACAAUUGAACCCAAAUUUUCUGUUUUUAAAUGAAACAUUUGU